Molecule: ribosomal RNA, 484 nt
Filed under: uncultured bacterium
Lineage: Bacteria
Description: partial 16S ribosomal RNA
Rfam family: Bacterial small subunit ribosomal RNA
Source: RNAcentral
AUUGAACGCUGGCGGCAGGCCUAACACAUGCAAGUCGAGCGGAUGAAGGGAGCUUGCUCCUGGAUUCAGCGGCGGACGGGUGUGUAAUGCCUAGGAAUCUGCCUGGUAGUGGGGGAUAACGUCCGGAAACGGGCGCUAAUACCGCAUACGUCCUGAGGGAGAAAGUGGGGGAUCCUCGUACCUCACGCCACCAGACAAGCCCAGGUCGGAUUAGCUAGUUGGUGGGGUAACGGCCUACCAAGGCGACGACCCGUAACUGGUCUGCGAGGAUGAUCAGUCACACUGGAACUGAGACACGGUCCAGACUCCUACGGGAGGCAGCAGUGGGGAAUAUUGGACCAUGGGCGAAAGCCUGAUCCAGCCAUGCCGCGUGUGUGGAGAAGGUCUUCGGAUUGUAGAGCACUUUAAGUUGGGAGGGAGGGCAGUAAGUUAAUACCUUGCUGUUUUGACGUUACCAACAGAAUAAUCACCGGCUAACUUCGUG